ACGCUGAAGGCCCAGCUUGCUGGGUUGGAUGAGUGGCGAACGGGUGAGUAACACGUGAGUAACCUGCCCCCUUCUUUGGGAUAACGGUCGGAAACGGCUGCUAAUACCGGGUAUUCACUGUCCUUCGCAUGGGGGGUGGUGGAAAGGUUUUUUCUGGUGGGGGAUGGGCUCGCGGCCUAUCAGCUUGUUGGUGGGGUGAUGGCUUACCAAGGCUUUGACGGGUAACCGGCCUGAGAGGGUGACCGGUCACAUUGGGACUGAGAUACGGCCCAGACUCCUACGGGAGGCAGCAGUGGGGAAUAUUGCACAAUGGGCGAAAGCCUGAUGCAGCGACGCCGCGUGAGGGAUGACGGCCUUCGGGUUGUAAACCUCUUUCGCUCAUGGUCAAGCCGCAACAGUGGUUGUGGUGAGGGUAGUGGGUAAAGAAGCACCGGCUAACUACGUGCCAGCAGCCGCGGUAAUACGUAGGGUGCGAGCGUUGUCCGGAAUUAUUGGGCGUAAAGGGCUUGUAGGCGGUUUGUCGCGUCUGCCGUGAAAUCCUCUGGCUUAACUGGGGGCGUGCGGUGGGUACGGGCAGGCUUGAGUGCGGUAGGGGAGACU
This 600-nucleotide ribosomal RNA is filed under the name uncultured Actinomycetes bacterium. RNAcentral describes it as "bacterial SSU rRNA". It matches the Rfam family "Bacterial small subunit ribosomal RNA", at positions 64 to 662 of the family's 1533-position model. The record is from RNAcentral. Lineage: Bacteria; Bacillati; Actinomycetota; Actinomycetes.